This is a long non-coding RNA of Hemiscyllium ocellatum (epaulette shark), 523 nucleotides long. RefSeq lists it as uncharacterized. NCBI's taxonomy places the organism in Eukaryota, Metazoa, Chordata, Chondrichthyes, Orectolobiformes, Hemiscylliidae. The record is from RefSeq and is a predicted model, not a curated record. The transcript is spliced from 5 exons.
UCGGGCGUGACUCAGCAGCUAAGCACCAGAAACAUUAAGGGACAAGGGAAUUUAGAGUCGAUGUCUUGUGAUGCGGUGAAAAUAUCCCGAAUCUUGACCGGGAGGCCUGGGUUCAAUUCACAGCGAGUGCAGGAUGAGGCUGUCACUGGCUCGGCCAGCAUUUAUUGCUGCGUUUACCCAGAGGGCAGUUAAGAGUCAACUGCGUUGCUAUAGGUCUGGAGUCCCAUGCAGACCAGACCAGAUCCCAGUGAUCAGUGCCAAAGCCCCAUUGCCUGUGGAAAAGGUGAUGUUUGACUUCCUGUACAGCUGCAAUUCGUGUGGUGAAGGUGCUCCCACAAUGUGGUUGGGGAUCUGCACUGGAACCCUUCUGUUUGCGGGACAAAUAUAUGUAGGUGACAUGGAUUAAAAUCUAAUUUGAGUACAUUUUGAAUUGUUGGAAGUUGUACAUUUGUGGAAGGAAGGGGAGCUGCCUGCAGCUGAAUAGUCAAAGUGAAUAAUUUUCUUUUGGUGAUUCCAUCUGGUG